AUAGUUUGAUGAUGGCUCAGAUUGAACGCUGGCGGCAGGCUUAACACAUGCAAGUCGAGCGGUAACAGGCCUUCGGGUGCUGACGAGCGGCGGACGGGUGAGUAAUGCAUAGGAAACUGCCCAGUAGUGGGGGAUAGCCCGGGGAAACCCGGAUUAAUACCGCGUACGCCCUGAGGGGGAAAGCAGGGGAUCUUUUGACCUUGCGCUAUUGGAUGUGCCUAUGCCGGAUUAGCUAGUUGGUGGGGUAAGAGCCUACCAAGGCGACGAUCCGUAGCUGGUCUGAGAGGAUGAUCAGCCACAUCGGGACUGAGACACGGCCCGAACUCCUACGGGAGGCAGCAGUGGGGAAUAUUGGACAGUGGGGGCAACCCUGAUCCAGCCAUGCCGCGUGUGUGAAGAAGGCUUUCGGGUUGUAAAGCACUUUCAGUGAGGAGGAAAACCUGACGGUUAAUACCCGUAUGGGCUUGGCGUUACUCACAGAAGAAGCACCGGCUAACUCCGUGCCAGCAGCCGCGGUAAUACGGAGGGUGCAAGCGUUAAUCGGAAUUACUGGGCGUAAAGCGCGCGUAGGUGGUUUGAUAAGCGAGAUGUGAAAGCCCCGGGCUUAACCUGGGAACGGCAUUUCGAACUGUCAGGCUAGAGUAUGGUAGAGGAGUGUGGAAUUUCCUGUGUAGCGGUGAAAUGCGUAGAUAUAGGAAGGAACACCAGUGGCGAAGGCGGCACUCUGGACCAAUACUGACAC
RNAcentral lists this ribosomal RNA (742 nucleotides) under uncultured Marinobacter sp. Its description in RNAcentral is "bacterial SSU rRNA". It matches the Rfam family "Bacterial small subunit ribosomal RNA", at positions 8 to 746 of the family's 1533-position model. The record is from RNAcentral. Lineage: Bacteria; Pseudomonadati; Pseudomonadota; Gammaproteobacteria; Pseudomonadales; Marinobacteraceae.